Molecule: long non-coding RNA, 614 nt
Organism: Rhipicephalus sanguineus (brown dog tick)
Lineage: Eukaryota; Metazoa; Arthropoda; Arachnida; Ixodida; Ixodidae
Exons: 2
Source: RefSeq, a predicted model, not a curated record
AGCUUCAAAACAAAAGAACUAAAAUAGAGGUUGCAAAUGCAGGGCCUUAACUUUAAGAAGGGUUGCCUCAAUGUGCCUUCUGGAAAAUGGGACUGUUUUCUUUUGCUGUAGAAAUUCGGAUACCAUAAUUUACAAUUCUAAAGACCUCAUCUACGACCUUGUGCAGGUUGAUCAUAAGCAGAAAACCAGAAGCGGCAGUGGUCUCCAGAAGAGACCCAAGGACCCCAAGCUCUCUGUGACACAAACAGGAAGGGCACUGUGGUGCACUGAAAACCUGCGCCAGUAGUGCAUUACCAGUGCACUAUGCUGCUGUUUCAUCAAGGUGAAAGGAGGUUACCACCCCCAGAGGAACUUCAUGCUCUACAGUAUGCUUUUGAAUGUCACGUGGAGAAGUGUGGAAGGCGUUCCUCCAUGGCAGAGCGGUGACCGGAGCGUGAGCUGAUACCUGGCAGACAAGCUGGAUGUCAUUGCAACUGGUGGCGGAAGGAGAAGACGACAAGAUGCUCGUGUGGUUGUGCGUGCCAGGGCUUGAUUGCGUCUUUUCUCAGACUACACUGUUUUUACUUGUACACAUGUAAAAUAAAUAUUGUUUGCUCAAUUUGAGAUAUCAGAAA